Molecule: long non-coding RNA, 624 nt
Filed under: Pan troglodytes (chimpanzee)
Lineage: Eukaryota; Metazoa; Chordata; Mammalia; Primates; Hominidae
Description: long non-coding RNA NONPTRT008528
Source: RNAcentral
AUCGCUUGAACCUGGGAGGCGGAGGUUGUGGUGACUGGAGAUCGUGCCACUGCAUUCCAGCAUGGGCUACAGUGCGAGACUCCCAUCUAAAAAAAAAUGCUGGGCGUGGUGGCGGGCACCUGUAAUCCCAGCUGCUCGGGAGGCUGAGGCAGAAUUCUUGAACCCGGGAGGCAGAGGUUGCAGUGAGCUGGGAUCACACCACUACACUCCAGCCUGGGCAACAGAGCGAGACUCCGUCUCAAAAAAGAUUUCCAGACUCUGCCUACUGUUCUCUCCUCCCUGACCCCACCUGGUUCCUGCUCCCCGAUCCCUCCCCUUUGGUUAACCCUGGAAGCCUCUUCACUGGCUCCCUGCUCUCCAUCCUCGCCACACAGCCAGAGGGACCUGUGAGCGCCUCAGCUGGGUGUCCCACCCCUGCUCAGAGGUCUCCUGUGGCUUCGUCUCAGAGUAAAAGGGUAAAGUGGUCAUCGAGGCCCCUGAGACCCCACCUGAGCUGCUCCACCUUCCUCUUCGGCCCAUCUUUCUGUCUUGCUUGGUCCACCCGACCCGCCUUGACGUUGAAACUCUCCAAACUCCUUCCUGACUCGUGCAUUUACAUUGCGCCUUGGACCCGUUGGACGCCCA